This 200-nucleotide ribosomal RNA is filed under the name uncultured bacterium. RNAcentral describes it as "partial 16S ribosomal RNA". It matches the Rfam family "Bacterial small subunit ribosomal RNA", at positions 8 to 225 of the family's 1533-position model. The record is from RNAcentral.
AGAGUUUGAUCCUGGCUCAGGAUAAACGCUGGCGGCGUGCCUAACACAUGCAAGUCGAACGCCCUUGCUUCGGCGAGGGAGUGGCGGACGGGUGAGGAACACGUGGGUGAUCUACCUUGAGGUGAGGAAUACCGGCGAGAAAUCGCCGACAAGACCGCAUAGGCCUGGGGAACCAGGCAAAGUCGCAAGACGCCCCAAGA